Molecule: ribosomal RNA, 497 nt
Filed under: uncultured bacterium
Lineage: Bacteria
Description: partial 16S ribosomal RNA
Rfam family: Bacterial small subunit ribosomal RNA
Source: RNAcentral
GAUGAACGCUGGCGGCGUGCCUAAUACAUGCAAGUCGAGCGAACGGACGAGAAGCUUGCUUCUCUGAUGUUAGCGGCGGACGGGUGAGUAACACGUGGAUAACCUACCUAUAAGACUGGGAUAACUUCGGGAAACCGGAGCUAAUACCGGAUAAUAUUUUGAACCGCAUGGUUCAAAAGUGAAAGACGGUCUUGCUGUCACUUAUAGAUGGAUCCGCGCUGCGUUAGCUAGUUGGUAAGGUAACGGCUUACCAAGGCAACGAUGCAUAGCCGACCUGAGAGGGUGAUCGGCCACACUGGAACUGAGACACGGUACAGACUCCUACGGGAGGCAGCAGUAGGGAAUCUUACGCAAUGGGCGAAAGCCUGACGGAGCAACGCCGCGUGAGUGAUGAAGGUCUUCGGCUCGUAAAACUCUGUUAUUAGGGAAGAACAUAUGUGUAAGUAACUGUGCACAUCUUGACGGUACCUAAUCAGAAAGCCACGGCUAACUACGUG